ACUCCUACGGGAGGCAGCAGUGAGGAAUAUUGGUCAAUGGAGGCAACUCUGAACCAGCCAUGCCGCGUGCAGGAAGACUGCCCUAUGGGUUGUAAACUGCUUUUAUACAGGAAGAAACAGUCGUACGAGUACGACCUUGACGGUACUGUAAGAAUAAGCACCGGCUAACUCCGUGCCAGCAGCCGCGGUAAUACGGAGGGGUGCAAGCGUUAUCCGGAACCAUUGGGGUUUAAAGGGUCCGCAGGCGGUCAAUUAAGUCAGAGGUGAAAUCCCAUAGCUUAACUAUGGAACUGCCUUUGAUACUGGUUGACUUGAGUUAUACGGAAGUAGAUAGGAAUAAGUAGUGUAGCGGUGAAAUGCAUAGAUAUUACUUAGAAUACCGAUUGCGAAGGCAGUCUACUACGUGUAUACUGACGCUCAUGGACGAAAGCGUGGGGAGCGAACAGGAUUAGAUACCCUGGUAGGAUAGCG
This 471-nucleotide ribosomal RNA is filed under the name uncultured bacterium. RNAcentral's name for it is "bacterial SSU rRNA". It matches the Rfam family "Bacterial small subunit ribosomal RNA", at positions 335 to 799 of the family's 1533-position model. The record is from RNAcentral.